This 465-nucleotide ribosomal RNA is filed under the name uncultured bacterium. Its description in RNAcentral is "partial 16S ribosomal RNA". It matches the Rfam family "Bacterial small subunit ribosomal RNA", at positions 338 to 795 of the family's 1533-position model. The record is from RNAcentral.
CCUACGGGAGGCAGCAGUAGGGAAUCUUCCACAAUGGACGAAAGUCUGAUGGAGCAACGCCGCGUGAGUGAAGAAGGGUUUCGGCUCGUAAAGCUCUGUUGGGAGGGAAGAAAGAUAGAGGUAGUAACUGGCCUUUAUUUGACGGUCAUUACUUAGCAAGUCAGGGCUAACUACGUGCCAGCGGCCGAGGUAAUACGAAGGUGGCAAGCGUUGUCCGGAUUUAUUGGGCGUAAAGCGAGUGCAGGCGGUUCAAUAAGACUGAUGUGAAAGCCUUCGGCUCAACCGGAGAACUGCAUCAGAAACUGUUGCACUUGAGUGCAGAAGAGGAGAGUGGAACUCCUUGUGUAGCGGUGGAAUGCGUAGAUAUAUGGAAGAACACCAGUGGCGAAGGCGGCUCUCUGGACUGCAACUGACGCUGAGGCUCGAAAGCAUGGGUAGCGAACAGGAUUAGAUACCCGGGUAGUC